Molecule: long non-coding RNA, 716 nt
Organism: Mauremys reevesii (Reeves's turtle)
Lineage: Eukaryota; Metazoa; Chordata; Testudines; Geoemydidae
Exons: 3
Source: RefSeq, a predicted model, not a curated record
AAGGGAAGGACCAAUCAGAGAAAGCUAGGAUCUGUAUAUAAGGCAGAGAGCUGACUGUCUUUAGUUAGUGUGAGUAGAAGGUGCUGCUGAAGUGAGUGGUGAAAGCAGGACAGAAGAGCUGAAAUCACAGAAGAAGACAGUAGCGGCUGAAGUAGUAGUAGCAGCAGAGCAGUGGACAAAAACUGCAUAGACAGAGCAUAAGGACCAUUCAGAGGGAAGGAAAACUGCAGGAAAAAUGCCUGGGCAGCUGUAUAGAAAUCCAUCAGCAGUCAAUGUUUCUGAAGCACUGACAGUCAGUUUGCAGGGAAAAUAAAGUAAAAAGGGCUAAUCCUGGAUUAAAAGCCUCCAGAUGUGAGUAAUUUAAGUAUGAAAAGCUGCUGAAAACUUUAAAAAUUCCCCCUGAAGACCGUGUUGCUGAAUUGAUGGCACUGUGCUGUUGUGUACCAUAUGCAGUAAGGCCAUAGAUUACAUUCGAUGGCAGACAAUUGUAGAAGACAUGGAAAGUGCUAGAUGUAAACUGAACGAAAAGAAAUGAAAACAAGAGGCUGAAACAGCUGAGCCAUCGACAACAGUAAAGAAACAAUGCACUGUGACUGGAUCAGUCUAUUGAUUUGAUUUUAUUAUAAUGAUUGAUGGCAGUAGUAGAUUCGAACUUGCUUUAAAAAUGUAAAUCUAUCAAUAAAACAUUCUGUUCAAGUGAUACCCAUAUAUUUUGU